GUGGGGCCCCGGCUGGCUGAGUCCUAACAGAAAAUGUGUUAUUGAAAGGGAUGAAGACUAGAAACUAUAGUUUGGAUCACUGGUGUUGUUACCUUACUGUAAAUUAAAAUGUAUUUUAGCUGAGCCGUGUUGUCCGUUUUCUACAAGAUUGAUCGUUGUAAGACUGGAACAGACCAAACAAAGAGAUAACACAUAAAACAAUGAGGCACAAGGAUAGCAUGACACCGAGAGCUAGCAUUGUUAGAAUAGUCUAGCUCAGACAUGGGCAAACUACGGCCCGCGGGCCACAUCCGGCCCGUUAGGCUUUUUAAUCCGGCCCGCCGAACUUGUCCAAAUCGCGACUUUGUUUACUUCCGGUGUGCGUUGGCGCGGAAAGUACUCGUCACACAAAACCCUUCACCAUGAUUUGUCAAUCCGUUUGUCUGUCAACAUUUUGCGAAAAAAAACAACCAAUGAACACUCAGUAAAUCACAAAGGACCCGCCCACCACACAGGUGAAGCUCAUUUAGAAACAGCUCCAGUGAUUUUGGCGAGCAGCGCGGAGCCUGGAGGGGCUGCAGAGCCACGAGGAGGAACACGCAGCCAGAAGAGAGCCACUUGGACCGGAGAGGAUUCACCAGCGCCUACAGCGCAGCCUGCAGCUCCACCUGCCCGGCCAGCAGAGAGGUCUCGUGACACGAUGACAUGAUGUUAUUAUUGUGAAGCCAUAUUGUAAAUAGUCAAUAGUUGUUUUCUAUUUCACAACAUGUAUAUAAUGUAGAUUUUAUUUUAUUUUUAUGUACAAUACAUAUUUAUAAAAAUAAAAAAAAUGUAAUGGUCA
Pseudoliparis swirei is the source of this 820-nucleotide long non-coding RNA. RefSeq lists it as uncharacterized. The transcript is spliced from 2 exons. NCBI's taxonomy places the organism in Eukaryota, Metazoa, Chordata, Actinopteri, Perciformes, Liparidae. The record is from RefSeq and is a predicted model, not a curated record.